This 163-nucleotide ribosomal RNA is filed under the name uncultured bacterium. RNAcentral describes it as "partial 16S ribosomal RNA". It matches the Rfam family "Bacterial small subunit ribosomal RNA", at positions 355 to 510 of the family's 1533-position model. The record is from RNAcentral.
UAGGGAAUCUUCCACAAUGGACGAAAGUCUGAUGGAGCAACGCCGCGUGAGUGAAGAAGGGUUUCGGCUCGUAAAACUCUGUUGUUAAAGAAGAACAUAUCUGAGAGUAACUGUUCAGGUAUUGACGGUAUUCAACCAGAAAGCCACGGCUAACUACGUGCCG